AUUGAACGCUUUCUUCCGGCCUAACACAUGCAAGUCGAACGGUAACAGGAAGAAGCUUGCUUCUUUGCUGACGAGUGGCGGACGGGUGAGUAAUGUCUGGGAAACUGCCUGAUGGAGGGGGAUAACUACUGGAAACGGUAGCUAAUACCGCAUAACGUCGCAAGACCAAAGAGGGGGACCUUCGGGCCUCUUGCCAUCGGAUGUGCCCAGAUGGGAUUAGCUAGUAGGUGGGGUACCGGCUCACCUAGGCGACGAUCCCUAGCUGGUCUGAGAGGAUGACCAGCCACACUGGAACUGAGACACGGUCCAGACUCCUACGGGAGGCAGCAGUGGGGAAUAUUGCACAAUGGGCGCAAGCCUGAUGCAGCCAUGCCGCGUGUAUGAAGAAGGCCUUCGGGUUGUAAAGUACUUUCAGCGGGGAGGAAGGGAGUAAAGUUAAUACCUUUGCUCAUUGACGUUACCCGCAGAAGAAGCACCGGCUAACUCCGUG
RNAcentral lists this ribosomal RNA (490 nucleotides) under uncultured bacterium. RNAcentral describes it as "partial 16S ribosomal RNA". It matches the Rfam family "Bacterial small subunit ribosomal RNA", at positions 30 to 507 of the family's 1533-position model. The record is from RNAcentral.